GGAGAGUAGGAGUGAAGAGAAGUAGGAGUUGGAGCAAGAGAGGGGAGGUGGGUGGGGGGAAGUAGGUGUGAGAGUGAAUAUAUAUAUAUAUAUAUA
Octopus sinensis (East Asian common octopus) is the source of this 96-nucleotide long non-coding RNA. RefSeq lists it as uncharacterized. Lineage: Eukaryota; Metazoa; Mollusca; Cephalopoda; Octopoda; Octopodidae. The record is from RefSeq and is a predicted model, not a curated record. The transcript is spliced from 3 exons.